UCGUAGCUUUUGCAAAUGUAAAAUGUUUUCAGUCUUAACAUUGUUCCUAAACUCUAUUUGCCUCAAGCAUCAUCAACCAUCGCCUGUUUGCUUUUCAGUAUUAUAAAUGAGCUUCCAAGUAACUUGAAAUAACUGACAACCAUGUGCUAGAUUUUUCUUCAGCUAGUCCAAAAUGGUGAUAGAAUACCCCACCAACAUACACACAUGACAACCAUGUGCUAAAUUUUUCUUCAGCUAGUCCAAAAUGGUGAUAGAAUACCCCACCAACAUACACACAUGUGGUACCUACAAUUGACAUACAGACCCGUAGUGUACAAGGGGAUAUCAUUCCGUUUCAUAAGCUAGACACGUGUAAAAGCAUCGUUGCCAGAGUGACGUCGGACAAGAAUAUCCGGUGCUUUCCUAUAACCAAAGUGUUCAUUUAAUAUGAUUAAAUAGAUUGCUCAAUACUAAAUGGAACUAGAAAACUGCAUUUGCUACCACUCAGAUCUGGUUACUGGAGAAGUAGAAUUGUCAAAAACUAGCUCAAUGUUUGAGGUUCCAGUGCCAGCUGACCAUGAUAACAUUUUGAAUCUGUUACUCAGAUCUGGUUACUGGAGAAGUAGAACUGUCAAAAACUAGCUCAAUGCUUUGAGGUUCCAGUGCCAGCUGACCAUGAUAACAUUUUGAACCUGUUAUCUGUCACCCUUUCCACCUCCAAACCCUCUGUUUCAUCUUUUCUCCUAAGAGUAUAAAGAUAGUAGUUCUACCUAUUUUACCCAGCAAUCAACCAAAUGUGAAUGUACUCAAGAAACUGUGCAACUCAACCAAUCAGAAUAUCAAGAAUUCACAUUCCUGAGUGAAUGCACCAGGAAAAAGAAAUCCAGAUUCACAAGCACAAUCCCAGAUUUCUCUACCAAUGUGAAGUGCUUGAUUAAACCUUUUAAAGGAAAGAUCAGAAAAUAAAGCAUGAUUCAAUUUCAAACUCUGUUUCUCAUUAUUAUGUCAAUCCUGGUACAGCCAUCCAUUCUCUUUUGUUUUGCUUUUUUCUUCUUUUUAAGUGAUGUAUAAAGCCCAACCUUCCUUUGCCUUUCUAUUCUUGUGCUUUCCCUCCUCAUUACCAUCUUGCAAAGAAAGGUAUGCGGGUGUUGGGUCAUUUUCACAGAUAAAUUAUAUAUAGGGAUUGUAAUACACGUAAUAA
This 1180-nucleotide long non-coding RNA is filed under the name Nicotiana benthamiana. RNAcentral's name for it is "long non-coding RNA (NBEN_LNC010869)". The record is from RNAcentral. Lineage: Eukaryota; Viridiplantae; Streptophyta; Magnoliopsida; Solanales; Solanaceae.